This 991-nucleotide long non-coding RNA is filed under the name Ictidomys tridecemlineatus (thirteen-lined ground squirrel). RNAcentral describes it as "lncRNA (ENSSTOG00000031814.1)". The record is from RNAcentral. Lineage: Eukaryota; Metazoa; Chordata; Mammalia; Rodentia; Sciuridae.
AAAUAAGAUGAAUGUGUGUGUUUUUUUUUAAUGAUGGCUUUUUUUAAGAUUCAGGAUGCCUUUGGUGUGGCGAGUGCUGGUCAUCACCCUACUGGAGACCCAGGAGCUCUUUGACAUCUGGCAAUACUUCCCUCGGGACACGCUUGAACGCUUGCUAAUUCGUUCUGCAGUGGAACGUGGCCCCACGAGGGCCUGCCUGGUUGUCUGAAGCCCCACUGCUGACCUGCUCAUCCCACAGUGCUGCUUUUUCAGCAGUUCAGCAGCAAAGGUCCCUCAGAGGCUCUCCCCUCUCCCAGGGUCCUUCCACGUGACCAGGGCCUGGGCUGAAGUGAGAUGAUAAACCAGAGACUCAGCUUACCGCCCAGGCCCCUGUCCCUGGCACCCUCUCUGAGGUCCUGCCAGCUGCUCCUAGAACCACCGGCGCUUCCUUGAGGGCAGAGGCAGCUGUCCCAGGUGUCCUCAGCCUCUGCCCGCUAUUGGAACGCACCUGUCCCAAGGCCCCGAGGAUGAGGAUAAAGUAAUAGACAGUAAAAUGACCAGACAGUCAGGAUGAUGGGCCCCGUCCAACCAUCCUGGAGGCUAACUGGGAGACACAUUCCCGAGCACCUCCAAGGCCUGCUUCAGAGGAGAUCUGGUGCACUCAGGGUGACACACUGCCUAGAUCCCAAGGCCUGUUCCAGAUGUAAAAGACUCUGAGGCUCACCUUCGGGAACACCUCCAGCCAACUCCUCUGUCCCAGAGGUAGAAAAGGGAAAGUGGGGGUGAACCCAGAUGGGAGGAGGUUGGGUACAGAACGGAGGGUGGAGGUGAACCUGGGUGGUGUCAGGGUGCCUUGUCAACACCUGCUAAACACGGCUUUUGCUCCAUGCUCUGCCCAGAACCGUACACCACCUCCUAAGCUGGCACUCCAAAAUGGGUCUUUCGACUUUCAGGCCCCGUCCCACAGGGCAGGAGUUCUGUUCUUGGCACUUAAAUAAACCCUGCUCCGUUU